Kogia breviceps (pygmy sperm whale) is the source of this 1326-nucleotide non-coding RNA. The record is from RefSeq and is a predicted model, not a curated record. NCBI's taxonomy places the organism in Eukaryota, Metazoa, Chordata, Mammalia, Artiodactyla, Physeteridae.
CAGCCUUAGAGUUCUGACUCCCUGUGGACGCUCUUCUCUUGGACUCCCUGGUUGGAUGGCUUUGGUUGGGACACCAGUGGUAAAGAGAACAUGAGAAACAGAGUCUCCAGGAAGUUAAGUGACUUGCCCAAGACCCGUGGAGCGGUGAUUCAAGCCUGGAUCUGCCUGACCCUUUCUGCCAUAUCACGCUGUUCUGCAAGACACUGGACAGGAUCUCUCAUGACUCUUGAGGACAUGAUGGAUGGUUGUGAGGGCACAGAAGGGGCUCCCAUCUGGCUGAAUGACAACCAUGGAAUGUUCUUAUAAGUGGAACCAGUUGUAUAUCGAGCUGGGGGGAUGUAAAAGGAGGAGAUGGAGGAGAAGGAGAAGAAAGAAGAUGAGGAGACAGAGGCCAGCUCUGAGGAGUGGGCAUCCUACCUGGCAAGAUAGAACAAGACCCUGACCGCUGACCUCGCAGGAGUCUACCCUCCUUCAGAGAGGAGAGAUCAGUGACUGUGGUUCCCUGCAUUGCCUCUGGUUCAGGGAAUAUGGAGCUGUGCAGAGAAUGUGGACUUUAGAAAAUUGUAAAGAAAUGGAUUUCAGCCUGAGCGCCUUUUUGUAUCACCUCAUCUGUUAAGUGGGUUUUGUAAAACCUCUCUUCCAGGCAGUGGUGUGCUGGAGUGGGUUCCUACUGGCUUAUAUAGAACCAAUUAAGGACAUUUCUUCCCAAUUCUGUGUUCAGUGACAUCCCAUUGGGAGCUGGAAGUUGGCCAUGGCGGGAAUAUUUACACCACAGAAAUUAGCAAAUACUACAAAUCAGGGCUCUUUUUUUCUUCCAUAUUGCUAGAUGGUAGAUAACCAGCAUACCACUGCUUACAGAGUUAUGCUUGGGAUGACGAAUGCUGAACCCCUGGCACACGGUCCCCACAUGUGCACACAUGCUUGGCACACAGUAGGUGUCAUAAGUGUGACUACCUUCUCCUUUGACAUUUCUCUUGUUUGAGAAAGACUACUGUUUCCUUUGCUCAGAAUAAUAACUCCCCUUCAGCCAGGGCUUUCUCCAUGUUUCAGACAAGGUGGUUCUGAUGGAAGCUGCCAUUCUUCUUACUCCCCCUGGACCUCACAGAGAGAUGGAGUCAAAGGAUGAGGAUUUUGGAGCCUUAUGAAUCUAGGUUUGGAUCUUGGCUUUGCCUCCUGCUAGCUAUAUAAUAACCCUGAGCAAGUUAUUUAAUUGCUCUGAGCCUCAAUUAAGUCACCUGUGUAAACUGAGGGUGGACAAGCCCCCUUCAUUAAGUUGUUGUGAAGAUGGAAUGAGGUAAUGGGUGUGUGGGUGUGCAAGGACCUGGC